UGUACACCCACUUUGAUAUAUGGAGUAAUAUCUUUUUUAGAUAUUACGAACAAUAUCACAGUGGGUGUACACA
Molecule: microRNA precursor, 73 nt
Filed under: Chlorocebus sabaeus (green monkey)
Lineage: Eukaryota; Metazoa; Chordata; Mammalia; Primates; Cercopithecidae
Description: miRNA (ENSCSAG00000026660.1)
Source: RNAcentral